This 200-nucleotide unclassified non-coding RNA is filed under the name soil metagenome. RNAcentral's name for it is "partial contains internal transcribed spacer 2 and large subunit ribosomal RNA". The record is from RNAcentral.
CCCUCAAGCGUAGCUUGGUAUUGGACGUUCGCGGGCCCUCUUUAGGGGGCCUGCGCGUCCGAAAAACAGUGGCGGUCCCCGGGGAUUUCGCGCGUAGUAAAUAUUCUCCCGCGUUGGAAAGAACCGAUUGGCCUUGCCAAAACCCCCCCUAAAUCUCCAUGAUUGACCUCGGAUCAGGUAGGGAUACCCGCUGAACUUAA